AUUCCAGCUCCAAUAGCGUAUAUUUAAGUUGUUGCAGUUAAAAAGCUCGUAGUUGGAUUUCGGAUGUGAACGACCGGUCCGCCGUUGCGGUGUGCACUGGACGUUUGUAUCUUGUUGUCGGGGACGCGCACCUUGCCUUAACUGGUCGGGACGCGGAGUCGGCGCUGUUACUUUGAAAAAAUUAGAGUGUUCAAAGCAGGCAACCGCUCUGAAUACAUUAGCAUGGAAUAACGCUAUAGGACUCUGGUCUUAUUGUGUUGGUCUUCGAGACCGGAGUAAUGAUUAAGAGGGACAGUUGGGGGCAUUCGUAUUUCAUUGUCAGAGGUGAAAUUCUUGGAUUUAUGAAAGACGAACUUCUGCGAAAGCAUUUGCCAAGGAUGUUUUCAUUA
This 389-nucleotide ribosomal RNA is filed under the name Pyramimonadales sp. RNAcentral's name for it is "partial small subunit ribosomal RNA". It matches the Rfam family "Eukaryotic small subunit ribosomal RNA", at positions 582 to 975 of the family's 1831-position model. The record is from RNAcentral. Lineage: Eukaryota; Viridiplantae; Chlorophyta; Pyramimonadophyceae; Pyramimonadales.